AACGCAAAUUGCACUCUCCUCGGAGAGUAUGCAUGUUUGAGGGUCAGCCUAAAAAAAAUCGACAUCGUUGCUGUUUCGCGGUGACGUCGGAAAUUGGGUCAUCUUAAACCUUUUGGUUUUAAGCGGCUUAAAAUUUUUUCCUUACGAUUCCAUGAACGUUUCUAAGAUUUUAUUUCUUACACGUUUUAAGGCAUCGAUCUUUUAUUAGACGUGGCCGUCACAUCGGAUCGCGUUCAUAAUUUUUCGUUAACUGACCUCAGACAUGUAAGAGUACCCGCUGAACUUAA
Molecule: unclassified non-coding RNA, 287 nt
Filed under: uncultured fungus
Lineage: Eukaryota; Fungi
Description: partial contains 5.8S ribosomal RNA, internal transcribed spacer 2, and large subunit ribosomal RNA
Source: RNAcentral